UUUAUUUCUGCUGUUUGAAUUCUACAACUAUGUUUGAAUUUCGAACUCAAUGUUGUAAUAAUCUUAAUGCACUUGUUUAAUCUGGAUGAUCUAUUGUAAUCUAUGAAACCACUCACCUUCGUGUGAGCUAUGCUUUCUCGGUAUUGUGUUAAGUGGUUUAUCGGAUGAAAUCCGACAGGCUACCAAGUUAACUUGAUUAAAGUACAUGAUCGCAUGUUAGGCGACUUAAAUGGGCUUUAGCUAAGUUAAUUUGGACAGUUCCGCCACACCGCUCUCCUACCC
This 282-nucleotide long non-coding RNA is filed under the name Setaria viridis. RNAcentral's name for it is "long non-coding RNA (SVIR_LNC004308)". Lineage: Eukaryota; Viridiplantae; Streptophyta; Magnoliopsida; Poales; Poaceae. The record is from RNAcentral.